CACCCAGUCUACAGGGGGCCGAAAGCAUGGCGCGGCGGCGGUGUCGCCUCUCCUCCUAUCCCGACCUCGCGCGGCAACCCCUUCCGCCACUUAUCAGCCCGCCCAGUGCGUUGCCACCUCUCCAUUUACCCCGACCAAGCGGUGGAACCUACCGCGACUCGUCGAUUUGCCCGGUGGCGGCGCUGAACGCACCAGCAUCCCCAGGAUCUCUGCUGUCCAAGACGGCAACCAUGCUUUCGGCCUACUCCUCGCCAGUCGUGCCUUCCCCUGGUGGUGCGAGCAGGAUGAGCAGAGAGUUGAAGCUAUCUAAGUAUACCCAAGGGAUCUGAAAUUUACAUCAAAUGGUUCAAGAGCUGGCACCUCCUCCCCCACGCAUGCUCAUUGCAGCAUGGGAAGGCCACGCGCGACGGUGUUGCUGCUGGGGAGAUCAGUGACGAGGGUGGCUGGGAAAAACAAAAUCAUGGUGUGGAACUGAAUUUAUUCUAGGUUAGGUCAAUGAGGGUUUAUAACUUGGUACAAAGUUUCGCGAGGACUCAGCUUCUUGGGAUGCAGAAGGGAAAGUUAAGUUGAUAUUUCUUAAUUAAUGAAAAACAUGUCAAGAGGAACAUGUGUCCUUAUAUAGGUACUAUUCGAGAGAUGGUUCUAUCAUGCGUAGUUAAAACUUGCCUAUUGACAAACAAUCACCUGCUGCAAAUGACGCAUGGGUGUUGCAGAUCAUGCAUCAUGGGUAUUUGCUUCUAAUAUGAUGAUUCAAUCAUUCUACUUUUGGUCCAAUGGCAAGGAUACACUGACUCUGAUUCUUUUUUGAGUUUCUAUGGACAUUGCUUGAUCUGGAUUACGAUAAGAGAUCAAUUGUUAAGUCUGUACCGAACCACAUAUUUAUUACUGAGCAGUACUAUAGUCUCUUAGUUAUGCUUUUAAAA
Molecule: long non-coding RNA, 923 nt
Organism: Triticum dicoccoides
Lineage: Eukaryota; Viridiplantae; Streptophyta; Magnoliopsida; Poales; Poaceae
Exons: 3
Source: RefSeq, a predicted model, not a curated record